UAAGGAAUAUUGGACAAUGGGGGCAACUCUGAUCCAGCCAUGCCGCGUGAAGGAAUAAGGCCCUAUGGGUUGUAAACUUCUUUUAGACGGGACAAAACCCCUUUACGUGUAAAGGGUUGAUGGUACUGUCAGAAUAAGCAUCGGCUAACUUCGUGCCAGCAGCCGCGGUAAUACGAAGGAUGCAAGCGUUAUCCGGAAUUAUUGGGUUUAAAGGGUGCGUAGGCGGACUAAUAAGUCAGUGGUGAAAGCCUGCAGCUUAACUGCAGAAUUGCCAUUGAUACUGUUAGUCUUUAGUACAGUUGAGGUAGGGGGAAUGUGUCAUGUAGCGGUGAAAUGCUUAGAUAUGACACAGAACACCGAUUGCGAAGGCAGCUUGCUAAGCUGUAACUGACGCUGGGGCACGAAAGCGUGGG
This 413-nucleotide ribosomal RNA is filed under the name uncultured bacterium. RNAcentral describes it as "bacterial SSU rRNA". It matches the Rfam family "Bacterial small subunit ribosomal RNA", at positions 355 to 765 of the family's 1533-position model. The record is from RNAcentral.